This 990-nucleotide long non-coding RNA is filed under the name Mus musculus (house mouse). RNAcentral describes it as "long non-coding RNA chr6:38493332-38494322". The record is from RNAcentral. Lineage: Eukaryota; Metazoa; Chordata; Mammalia; Rodentia; Muridae.
ACUGACUAUUUUUUCAGCUCAAGAAUAUUAUAUUUUUAGUCAGUGAGAUGGCUGAAUGGGUAAAGGUGCUUGCUACUAAGCGUAAUGACUUGAGUUCCAUCCCUGGGACCCACAUGGUAGGAGGAGAACAGACACUCGAAAGUUGUCCUCUGUCCUCACAUCCACAUACCAUGGCACAAUCCCCUGCCCAAGAAUAAAUGUAAUUUUAAGAUUUUUUUUUAAUAAAAAUAAAGGCUAUGUUAUUCUGUGUUUGGUAGUUGUUUCUGAUUCAGUGCUUUGUUUAGAGACUAGACAUUUGUAUGCAGACCUGCCUACCUGUCCCUGAAGUUGAGAUUCCCAGCAUAUGCUGCUACACCCAACUUUUUUUUUUUUUUAAUUGGGACAGCACCUUACUCUGUAGUGCAGGCUAGCUUCAGAAUUGUAGCAAUCCUCCUGCUACAGUCUCCCAACUGCUGAAUUUUAGUCUUGGACUAAAACAUCUGAUAUGUUGUUCAUAUAUUUCUUGGCUCUGACUUCGAAAUCACUUGUACUGUGUUAAUUUUUCUGCCUUGUCUAUAUUUUGAAGCUUUCUCAAGAGACUUGUUCUUCAUAUAAAUGAUGUGGCUUCUUUAAUAUUUUUUCCUCCUGGAAGUCAUGUAUAUUCACUAUGAGCAAAUUUAGAGAGAAGACAAAAGCCGCCUGUGUGCCUGUGUGCACCAACUUUUAUUUGUAGGGUGUUCUAAGGCUCUUUUCAAAAAGCUGCCUUACAUAAUAUUAUGUUGUAAAACCUUUUUGAAAAUACAUGUGCUGGAGAGAUGGCUGCCCUUUCAGAAGUCCUGAGUUAAUUCCCAGCAACCAUAUGGUGGCUCACAACCAUCUGUAGUGAAAUCUAGGGCCCUCUUCGGGCAUGCAGGUGCACAUGCAGAUACUCAUACAUUAAAUAGACUUGAAAGAGAGAGAGAGGCAAAGAGAGAAAGAGAGAAAGAAAGGAAGAGAAAGAAAGAAAGGAGG